Molecule: non-coding RNA, 86 nt
Organism: Cladorrhinum sp. PSN332
Lineage: Eukaryota; Fungi; Ascomycota; Sordariomycetes; Sordariales; Podosporaceae
Source: the annotation of a GenBank genome assembly
GGUCCGCUGGCGUAAUGGCAGCGCGUCUGACUACGAAUACACUUCAAGAAAUCAGGAGGUUCCAGGUUCGACCCCUGGGCGGAUCG